Molecule: long non-coding RNA, 525 nt
Organism: Colossoma macropomum (tambaqui)
Lineage: Eukaryota; Metazoa; Chordata; Actinopteri; Characiformes; Serrasalmidae
Exons: 4
Source: RefSeq, a predicted model, not a curated record
GAAGACAAAGGUCAAGGAAGCACAAUUUUUAACCUUAAUCACUACACCACCAGCGUUAUUUUGACUGGCAGUUGUGAACAGGUUGCCCAGCACAGUCUACAAAAAGUGCACUUUGAUGAGUAUAAUGCCAUCAUUGGAUUUUUUAACAAAGGUGCACACUGGAAACUUCUGUACAUCAAUGCCAUGCAUAAGGCAAUUUUUGUUCUUGACCCUCUGGGCCAUGAUGAGCUCAAGGACUCUGCAGAGGCAGGUCAAAGAUUCAGGGACUACUUUAAGAUGCGUCAUAACAGGUAUGGUAAAGAAGACUGGGUCCAUAUCAAGUGGACAGCUGGGAAAAUUGACCACACAAAGCAGACGGAUGGAGCCAGUUGUGGAGUUUUUGUAAUGAAGGUAAAUUUACAUUUAUCCUGUGUUUAUUAUUAAAUAUACAGAAAGUGGAUGGAUCAACAAAGUAUUUAGUAGUUCCUGGAGGGCCCAAUUUCUGCACAGUUUGCUGAUUUUCCUACCACAGCACACUUGAUUCAA